UGUGCCAACGGACAGGCACAGGCAGUCAAGGAAGACAGUCAAGGACAUCGCAAGAAGCGAUUCAUCAGGAUGAUGAAAAGGAUUACAGGGAUUAGGGAAGAAAUGUGGGCGGGUCAUACCGCCCCUUUUUUU
This 132-nucleotide small RNA is filed under the name Pseudomonas cichorii. Lineage: Bacteria; Pseudomonadati; Pseudomonadota; Gammaproteobacteria; Pseudomonadales; Pseudomonadaceae. The record is from RNAcentral.